Mus musculus (house mouse) is the source of this 5942-nucleotide long non-coding RNA. RefSeq annotates it as mono-ADP ribosylhydrolase 2, opposite strand 1. The record is from RefSeq and is a predicted model, not a curated record. Lineage: Eukaryota; Metazoa; Chordata; Mammalia; Rodentia; Muridae. The transcript is spliced from 2 exons.
UUCAACUUUAAAUGACCCAUCAGGAUCAUUUAAAUUUGAGCUUUUUGUACAGUGGCUGAGCUUGUACAGACUCCUGUGUUCAAAGAAGCAACAGGUAGGCCUUAGCUGCUUUUAUGUGGUGCAAAGGAGACAAAGGAAGGAAAGAAAAAUUAGUGUAAAAACCGAAAGGUUGAAAGGCUGGGUAGAUCUACUGAAUAUGUUCUUGACUGCAUGGACCCAGGACAUGUCUUCCGAGUAGAUGAAAGUGAGAAUCAUGGCUAUUCCUUUAUAUGAAUUUUCAUUCACUGUGAACAUAUCUGUAUAGCAGAAACUGGCAAGUGUGGGUAGAAACUGCCCUUAGACACAUUCUCCAUAAGUUUGUUUACAAAUGAAUAAUGACAUACAAGAAGAAUAUAUACCUAGCCUACUUAGGACUCAUUGACUUUGAAAGGCUAUGAGCUUGUGAUGGUAGAAUGCUUACUUUGUAUUGCCACUGCCAUGUAGCCCAAACACCCCUUGGCAUGGCUGAAUAGUGAGCCAUCAAAAGUACAAAAGCCCUUGGUUCAUACACCUGGUUGAUAAGAGGAUACAUGAGUAUGUCUGUGUAGAAUUAAGUAUGGCACCCGCCCAUGUUUCUAUUAAACUGGAGAAAUUCAUUUCUCUGUUAAACCCUAUGGAGACUGUAUCACUCACUUUCUUCUGUUGUGGUGGCACAUCAUGGCCAUGACUGAGGCAGCUUGUAGGUGAACAGUUUAUUUUGGCUUAUGACUCCAGAGAGAUAAGAGUCCACCACAACAGGGAAGUCUCAUAGCAAGUGACAGGUGGAGGAGCCAGAGCAGAAAACUGAGUUCAUGUGCUCAGAGACAGUGGACAGUGAACUAGAUGUGACGCAAGAUUAUAAUACUUAAAAGUCUGUCUCCAGUGACAUGCUUUCUUCAGCAAGGCCACACUUCUAAACAUCCACAAAGAAUGUCCACUGAAAUGUUCUAGAAAGAGACUCUGCUUCUGAGGGCCAGUGGACCAUCCUGCCUUUCUUCAGUUAAUGGACAAGUAAGCAUGAGCACCGGAAUUGUGCAGUUGAGAGUAAAUUAUAGUGAAAGUGGAGUGUCUUCAAGAGCACCAUAAUCAAGUGGGUGAGAAAUACUGGCUUGUAUAUAAAAUUGAUGUGGCACCUACAAAACAAAGUGGUAUUCUACACUGGCCACUUUAAAAGGACAGGUUUUAGCAAUGAAUAGUCUAAAAGAAAAAAAAAAGAACAGAAAUGUUGUUUCAUCUAUUCAUUAAUGAAACAAAUCAGAUUUACAUAAAUAAUAUGUUUUGCAUUUUGUAUAUUUCCAGUUACUUCAAUACACAUAGGCUUUUAUUUCAAAGAUCAGCUUCACUCAUUUCCAAUCAAUACUUUAUCUUCCCCAAAUUUCAAAGACAAAAUUCUUCACCAAAAAAAUCGUGGCAAACAUAGGUUUUUGAAGGACACAAGUCCUCCAAUCUGUUUUAGUUAAAAAUCUAGGAAGAAGGAUCUCUGGGCUUCUCAGAGCUCUCUACCUAAAGACUACAUUCCAAGUUUCAUUGCAGACUUAAAAUAAGGCACCGCAGUGAAGCAUAGAGGUAACCCCAGCACCGGUGACACAUUUCCAUAAGUUUCAUUGGUGGUGGAUAUUGACAAGCAGUUUGAUGAGCUUGUCAAUACCUUCCAGGUCAUUUCACAACUCUAGUACAAAGAUAAAGAGCUAAUUUUCCCAAUUUCCUCUGAAGCUAGCAUGUCAAUGGAAUCAACCAAAUGAACCCCAAUAUGUCAGCAUUGAAAGUAAAAGCAAAAACCAUGAAGAAUUAGUGUUGUGACAGGCUAUCUCCUGGAGAAACAUGGUAGCAUUCCCUGGCUCUUUGAAAAGCUGUGAACUGGACAAAGAGAGUUUAAUACCAUGUGUUCUGGGACACUGACUACAAAGCAGCUGCAAUGGUAUUUCUGCUAGAGCAUUCUAGCUGCCCAGUUGUUGAUUUGUCAUUUCUGGCUCUAUUGUUCACUGUUUAUACUAACAGUCUAGAUUCUGUUGGAACAACUUUGAGCUCUCUAAUGACCCUCAUUUUCUCUCCUUGUAUCCCUUCACCCUCCAGCAUGGCCUAGCAGUCAAAACAGUCCAUCCUUCCUUUAUUAGAUUGAAUGAAUUUUGUAGCAUCUCUUCUUUGUAUUGUACGUGGCUAGGAUGAAGAGUUAUGAAAGAAUUUAACCAAGGCAGGUAUCACUACAAAAAUUAAGUGUAUUUAGGUUCCCACCAUGAAACACCCAGCAUGCACAUAAGGGCCUUCCUGUUGGUCAGUGUUUGACACUGGCUUUAUAGGGCUUUGGUUCAGUAGUACUAGAUGAUGGUUCCUUUGAUUGAUGGAGAUCUAGCCAUGGCAUUCCAUUUUGCUCCUGAUUGGCAUUACAUGAAGCUCCUGGAUUUUGUUGUUUGUUGGUUUUAUGUUAUUAGACUUUCCUAAACUAGGCUUACCCUAUAGAAAGUCUCUGACAGGGAUCUCUUCCUUUUUGUAUUUUCAGUAUGAGUCUUCUCUCCGAAUUUCCCAGAGGACCCACUUUUACUGCAUCCUUAAAGUGGACUGAGUGGGUCAAAGAAGAUAAGAGCCUACUGAGAAUUUAACUAGCUUGCUUGGUUAUCUAAUAUAUUGAACACAAAAUUUCCAUGAAAAUGCAAAUUAUGAACUGACAAUAACUUUGUGUAUAUUCUUAAGAUCCAAAGUCAUAGGAAUCACAGAACUCUUCAUGGAGCCACCAUUGAGCUGCUCAUAUACAAAUGGGAAGUACAAGAUGCCUAGGAAUCCAGAGCUUUUAGUUCACCACAGGAAGACAAAACUGAUUUCCACGGGAGAAGCUGAAAUCAUACCGAUGCCAGGCCGGCUCUGACUUUGGCCUCUAGUGGUACUCUGCUUUCAUUCACAUUUGCUCACCUAAUCUCUCUGCAUCACUGACCUGGGUGUCACUUCCUCAUCAUUUUGUAUGUUUACUAAGGUUAAACAUGUUGCUGAUUAUUUUCCAAAAUUCUUCUUCAAAUACUUCUCCAUUACCAAAAAAAAAUAAUAAUAAUAAUAAAAUAAAAGAAAGAAAGAAAGAAAGAAAGGAAGAAAGAAAGAAAGAAAGAAAGAAAGAAAGAAAGAAAGAAAGAAAGGAAAGUCUCAAAACCCUCCCAAUAUUGCCCAUAGAAAAUUCUGCAUUUAGGCAAAAGUUUGAAUAUGACAGUAAACAGGAAAAAUAUUCUUUUUAAAAAACCAUCUAUUUAUUACUAUAUGUAAGUACACUGUAGCUGUCUUCAGACACACCAGAAUAAGGUAUCAGAUCUCACUACGAAUGGUUGUGAGCCACCAUGUGGGUGCUGGGAUUUGAAUUCAGGACCUCCAGAAGAGCAGUCGGCACUCUUAACUGCUGAGGUAUCUCUCCAGCCCAGGAAAAAUAUUCUUAUUCUGUUCAUCCUCUAGUCACUACUUUUCUAAGAAGCUUUACUGACUGCAAUGUGGAACUUGAUUCUGUCACAAUUUUCUCUACUUGCAUGCAAAUCAAUGUGUAGCUUCCUCAGAUCCAUUCAAUUAGUAUGCUCCAAAGCCAUAUAUGUGUCUGUCUCUCAAGCCAUCUCAAUUAGAGUCACCAAAGCUAUUAGGUACAUGUUUAAAUUUUUGUGAGUCAUGUAUCUGACAAAUCCUAACCUGUGUCUCUUCCUACGUGCCUUACAAUGAUGUGUACUAAGACAUCAAGGCAUACCAAGAAUUCAUGCACAGAGGAGAAGAUUAAAAUGCAUAUGUGGUUGUGGAAGGAACCCAGAGCUGUUGAAAAACAAGCUAGCAAAGCACUGCUUGAGUCACAGACCUACCAAUGACCUGGGGUUCUGGAAGCUUUCACAUGUCGAGAGCCUCAUGCAUGAGAAACUGCCUGAGUUCAGGCUUCUGUGUGCACUGUGCCAAUUCCAAAGCCGAAAAUGUCAUUUCCUCUGCAAGGAUAACGGUGUUAUACACAUUGAAGGAGACGAGAUCACAGAAAGUCCUGAAAGUCAGGCUUUCAUAAAACUCCUUGGGAUUUGUGUGACAGAACAGCAUUGAGCAAAUCAGGCCUGAUAGAUAAAUAAUCGUUACAUGUAAAGUCUGAGUCCAGAGUUUCCCAAAGUAAGUCAGAGGCAGCAAGACAUUUUUCCCUAGAGUUCUUACCACAGUAUCAUAUUAUAAAAUAUUAAGAAGCAUAAAGGCAGUAUUGGAAAUGGACACAUAUUCAACCAGAGUUAUCUCCUUUUGAGAUGUUAUUAAGAUACAGGGAGAAGAUAGAGUCCAAGACAACAACAUCAAUAUAGCCAUAACAACAAAUACACAGACCACCUCUUGGUGAAUACAAGAUAUAAAAUAGAUUCUGUCUAAGGAUGGCCUGAGAAACAAGCAUUGUCUAGUGUUAAGCAACUAUCUGGUCAGAAGUAUAAAAAUAAACAACUGUGCCAAACGUAUUAUAGAAACAGACAUGUUUAGCCCAAGUUUUACAUUUCAGAGUCUGGGGAGGCAAGGCAGCUGAAAGGGCAGAGUGCACAGAUAACAUAUAUUACACUCGCAUAUGCACACAAACACACACACACUCCAUGUGUGCACGGGGAAAUUAACUCAGAGCCUCUGCAAGAGCAGCGAGUGCUCUUAACCACGGAGCCUUCUCUACAGCCCAGUGAAUGUUUUGUUCCUAUUUUAAUAAUAGGAGUAAUAACAAAUAAAUUGCUUCAUAAAGGAGCAAUAUGGGUAACAGAAAAUAGAAGAGUGUUUUUGUUUUCAUGUCUAGCUCAUCAGAUGAGAGGUUAGCUCUCACAUUUCCACCCAGGUGUUAACAUCUGCUGAAUGCCUUAGAGAGCCAGCAAGAGCAGAUUUGGUUGAGUUUCCUCCCCCACAAUUUCCUGAUUUAGACUGAAGUGCUACAUGCACAGGGGGAUUGUUUAAUCCACCUUUCUUUAGAGAAGGUCAGAAAGAAAUGUUCUCAUCUGCCUUUUCCUAGUUCUGUCAUACCAUGUAACGUUGCUUAGACUUUCUGUAACUGUAACGUUUAACUCUCUUCCACAUAGAGUUGUAAGCUUACAUUUUCAAAAAUAGCAAUUUUUUUUUUGUUGGUUAGAAACCAAUUAAAAUGUAGCUUUAGUCUGAUUUUAAAAUACUGUAUAAUAGCUGAGCAAAGAUAUGCUCUAUAGGAUAACCAGUUCAUCAUGGUCUACAAUGUAUUCCACCUAAACACAAUUGCUCAUAAGCUGAAAAUUAAGUUUUUAACAGCCCACACUCCUUUCUUGUCAGACUGAGCAUUGAUGGGAAAUUAACAGAGCAAUGCAUGAUGAAUUAUUUUCAACUUUUCUGGGGAUUUCGUUUUUCUCCUCUCAACCCGAAAGACCCUGAAGCAGGUGACCUAUAAUAACUUAUAGGUCCUUGAGAUGCUUGCAUACCUGUUUUGGUUAUUACAGAAAGACACACUGUUCAGUAGACACGGUAAGCAUGAAGGGACAAAGGAGACCAUAGUGUUUGAACUUACAACUCUCCACUCACUUUCUCCUAGCCAGCAAGGAGUUAACCACUACCCAGAGCACUGUGAUCUGUUCCAUGACAAGCUGCAAGCCACUGCCUUUUUUAGUUGUGGCUUCUAGAUCUUUAUCCCUGCCUAAAACCAUCCCUCUUAGUCUCUGACUCUUAAGCUUAUUUUCUACCAAUUUUCUGUUGUUCAUCUCUCCAACUGAAAUGAAGAUUAAAGAUGCAAGAGAAUCCUCCAAAAUCCAAGAAUAUCACGUCAAUCUUAAAAACAUCAUUUGCCAUUGUAAUUUGUUCAUUGAUUUAAAUAUAACUGACAGCCUAGCUAGUGUAGUCUCCAAUAUUAAAGAACAAUUACAAGCCCAAGACUCAUGCAAUACAUUCUUGUUCAAACACACACACACACACACACACACACACACACACACACACACACACAUAUA